CAUUCUCCCCGCAUAUCAUCUCCACCUCCACAUUGAAUCUCACAACUGUACUACAUUACCAAUAACAAAUCAAUCAUUAUUUUUUUUUAUGUAACCCCAUAUAGUUUUGUACUUUCUUAUUUUAGUAUUCUAUGAUUUAAAGUGUAUCAACUUAGUAUUUUGUGAUUUCGCAUUUUCUCAUUUUAGUACUCUGUAAUUUAAAAUGUAUCAAGUUAGUACUCUGUGGUUUUUAUUUUAUAUUAAGUUAGUAUUCUGUAGUUUCUUUUUUUUUUAUUAUCUAUUUCGGAAUAUUUUUUUGCUAAAUUAGUGACAAAGUUAAAACUAAAAGGUAUUAAAAUGAAUAUUUGAUAAACUUAUAUAGAAUAUCUAAAAUUUUUUUUUGUAUAUAAUUUAACUAAAUAUUAAACCACGCGCUAUUAACUUGAUAUAAUUUAAAUUACGGGAUAUUAAAGUUAGAAAAUGUAGUGUAUUUAGAGGUAUUUGAGGUUUU
RNAcentral lists this long non-coding RNA (490 nucleotides) under Ananas comosus (pineapple). RNAcentral's name for it is "long non-coding RNA (ACOM_LNC015984)". The record is from RNAcentral. Lineage: Eukaryota; Viridiplantae; Streptophyta; Magnoliopsida; Poales; Bromeliaceae.